AGCCGCGGUAAUUCCAGCUCCAUUGGCGUAUAUUAAAGUUGUUGCGGUUAAAAAGCUCGUAGUUGGAUCUGUGUAUCGGACGGUCGGUUCGCCGCUCGCGGUGUUUAACUGACCGGUCCGGACGUCCUGCCGGUGGGCGUUCCCGGUUCAGGCCGGGGCGCCCGUAACUUCCCUCCGCGCUGCUCUUCACUGAGUGGUUCGGUGGGCCGGCACGUUUACUUUGAACAAAUUUGAGUGCUCAAAGCAGGCCUUAUGUUGCCUGAAAACUGUGUGCAUGGAAUAAUGGAAUAGGGCCUUGGUUCUAUUUUGUUGGCUUUUCUGAACUCGAGGUAAUGAUUAAUAGGGACAGACGGGGGCAUUCGUAUUGCGACGUUAGAGGUGAAAUUCUUGGAUCGUCGCAAGACGGACCGAUGCGAAAGCGUUUGCCAAGAAUGUUUUCGCUAAUCAAGAACGAAAGUUAGAGGUUCGAAGGCGAUCAGAUACCGCCCUAGUUCUAACCAUAAACGAUGCCAGCCAGCGAUGCGCCGAAGUUCCUCCGAUGACUCGGCGCGCAGCUUCCGGGAAACCAAAGCUUUUGGGUUCCGGGGGAA
RNAcentral lists this ribosomal RNA (590 nucleotides) under Ametropus neavei. Its description in RNAcentral is "SSU rRNA". It matches the Rfam family "Eukaryotic small subunit ribosomal RNA", at positions 572 to 1122 of the family's 1831-position model. The record is from RNAcentral. Lineage: Eukaryota; Metazoa; Arthropoda; Insecta; Ephemeroptera; Ametropodidae.